GUCACCUUUCUAGUGAAGGGCCAAGAGAGACUGAUUUAAGGCCCUGGGACAUAUGGUCCCAGACUUCUACUUCCAAAGAAGAGAGUAGAACUAUAGCAGGCUGGUGGCACAGAUGGAAAUGGUCUUGUUGAUUUGCAAUGCAAUGGCAGACUUCCCUUUCCCUUUCCUUUUCAGGCCUAUAUGUUCAAAUGUGUCCUGAGCUGCUUUAAGUAUAUUAAAGCCAGCAAGAGAGAGGAGGUGAAAGUCGACCCACAAGCAGUUGAAAAGGCUGUGCUGCCGUCGUAUGAGGAAGCCUUAGAGUUGCCUUCCAAGGAAUCCCCACCACCCUAUGUAGCAAUCUAAGCUGCAUUCACGGAGAGAAGAUGACAUCUGUAUUGCUGUUGGUGCCUCUUACCCCUUCUCUGAUAGUCAGCCUCAUUGAGAAGUCUUUACUUUAUAGCGGUAUCCUGCUUUUUACAAUCCACCUUGCUUUAUGAGCCUACUAAGAGUAAUGGUGAACCACUGGAGUUGGCGCCUUGUUCUACACUGGCAGUUUUGACUUGGUACUACCAAGCUGCAGGGCUAAUUUUAAUAAACUUGGCAUCAGGCACCACAGAGUUUCCCAUCACUGGCCUCUGACAUCUGGCUAAUGUGAAGUGUAGGCACUGGCCUGAAUCCCUUGUCAGGCUUGCUUUAUGCCAGCAAGAUGCUGUUUCUCAUCUGUCUCACAUCUAACUCAGCAGCUGAGACAUUUAGGAAGUGGAAUGGGAGGAAAAUGGGCAAGAACCUUUUCACUGAGAUAGUGCCACCCUGAAGCUAUGCUAACUAGCACCUUUUAAUGAGAACUGUACAGGAAAGGGAUCAGCAAAAUAAUGAAGAUUUCAAAUGAACUAUGAUACAGCUCUCAUCCUGUCAGUUUAUGGUGAUGAUUAAUAGUGCGUACUCCAGAAUAUACAAUGUGCUGGAAUGUCACAGCUCUGCCAUUUUAUACCUGAGUGUUCGCAAUUUUUUGCUUUUAGUGUGACUUGAAAGAUGAGUUUCAAUUAAAAAAAACGUUAAUGGCUUCAAUAUUUUGCUGUCUGAUUUCUG
This 1068-nucleotide long non-coding RNA is filed under the name Buteo japonicus. Its description in RNAcentral is "lncRNA (ENSBJAG00000011777.1)". Lineage: Eukaryota; Metazoa; Chordata; Aves; Accipitriformes; Accipitridae. The record is from RNAcentral.